GAAAUGCGAUAAGUAGUGUGAAUUGCAGACUUUAGUGAAUCAUCGAAUCUUUGAACGCACAUUGCGCCCCUUGGUAUUCCAUUGGGCAUGCCUGUUCGAGCGUCAUUUACACCCUCAAGCUUCGCUUGGUGUUGGGCGUCUGUCCGCGCUUUCUGCGUGGACUCGCCCCAAAUCCAUUGGCAGCGGCAUCGCCAGCUUCUCGCGCAGCACAUUGCGCCUGGGAAGGCUUCUGGCGGGUCUGCAUCCAUCAAGAACCCCCUCAGUUUGACCUCGAAUCAGGUAGGGAUACCCGCUGAACUUAA
RNAcentral lists this unclassified non-coding RNA (302 nucleotides) under uncultured Pleosporales. RNAcentral's name for it is "sequence contains ITS1". The stretch from base 1 to 105 matches the Rfam family "5.8S ribosomal RNA", at positions 50 to 154 of the family's 154-position model. The record is from RNAcentral. Lineage: Eukaryota; Fungi; Ascomycota; Dothideomycetes; Pleosporales.